UCUUUUUUGUUUUUCAUUUAUUUUCUCUUUGACUCAGUCUUCUUCAUUAUCCUUGAGCAGGCACAAACCCAAAUUUGUUCAACCAACAAUUUUUUUUUCGCAAGCUCUAUUUCAUAUCUUUUUUCUUUCUUGCCUUCCACCACCACUAAAGGUUGGCUUGCCGGACUUUGAAAACGCCCAAGUCGAAGCCAUGGCGGGUGAGACUUAGCUACACACAAGGCCCAAACAUCACGGGGAGAGAGAAGCGGUAGAUUUGUUCAGAUCUUAUCGACGGCGAGCGGAGGUAGUCCACUUUUUUUGGUCAGAUCUCGUCGACAGAGAGUGCCAUGGAUGACGAAAGUGAUGAGCUCUUUGUAACCAACAUAAACCACUCUCUAAAGCCCACUCCCACACCAUCGUCGACGUCCACCGCACCAAGAAGAGGGAUGAAGAAAUUGGGGCUGGGUAGUGAGUACCAAAUCGUUUAAUUUCAGCUUAGCUAUGAACACCUCAACUCAAGUUUUGAGAUACUAUUGAGUAUGAGCUAAUUGUUUCCAACUUGAAGAGAGAAAGAAGAGGCUUGUCUUCCAGUGACUAGUAGUGAAUGAUGACAACAACAACAAUUCACAUACAAUUUUAAUUGCUUCAAAUGGCAGUAUUGAAGAUGCCUCUUCAUAUGUUGUUGAUUCAGACUCAGAUUAUGGUCGUUUGAUUCAAGCUCUAUUCUACUCUUCUUAAUUAAUUACUUUGAGGUUGGAGAUAUGCAAUCCAAUACUCUUGUCUUGAACCAUAUAUCUCUUUUACAGUGUUUAAUUGGAUAAAGAGUUUAAAACCAUUUCUCCAAUUGCUCAUCCAUCUUCUGAGGCUGUCUCUUUAUUAAUGUCUCCUGAUAUGGGGCAACAUGGAAUUGGAGGCCUUGGUAUGCAAUGCAAGGGGAAUGAACAAUAUGCUAUUCAUAACCAUUUAUUUGCUAUGGAAUGGAAAGCCAUCCAAGUAACUUAUCAGCAUCAAAGGUAUAUAUAUUAGGGAAAUUUGAAUUCCUAUACUUACAUAACCUAAAAAUUUGUCCCCUAAAUGCAAAGUUAUUAAAAUUGGUAAUAUAUGACCAUUUUAUCAAUUUUCCUAAACUACCCCUCUCAUUUGUAAUCAGCCUCUCUCUUCCUCUCUCUUCGUCUCUCUCAGCCGAUUUCCCACACUAAACCCACACAGCCGCUCGCUCGCCGGACCCGUGACACCCAAACGACCAGGGAACACAGUCGACCAACGCAACCCGAACCCUCGCAACCCCGACCUUCGACGAACUCCCAACAUCGACAAUGUCAAAGGGAAGUGCACAUCUUAUAAUUCCAGUGUCGGACCAUUACACUGGCCGUGUCACAUGGCGCGGGGGUAGUUACUACUACCCGAAGAUUAAGGCUAAAUUUGAAGAAUUUAACCUAUUGGACAGGGUGAGGGAAUCCCCUUUCAAACAGUUUUUCGAGAGAGCGCCCAUACAAUUUUCUGGAGCAUUUUUUCAUCAGUUGAUGCUUCACAAAAUAAAAUCUGACAAGCCGGACGAGGUGCAUUUCUAUGUGGGAAGGAAGAGAUGUAGAUUUGGGAGGGUGGAGUUCGGCUUGGUCACCGGGUUAAACUUAUUGCCGGCCACUGCGAGGAAGACAUCAAACAAAAUGGAAGCUCUGACCGGUUGAUUCAGGAAUAUUUCAACGGUAGUGCUUCGAUCACCUUCGGCCAACUGCGCAGAGUUUUUGAGAGCUGCACAGAAGCUGAUGAUGUUUACAAGUUGGGGAUGGCCUUGUUUGUUAUGGGCGUCCUCACUGGUAAGGAGGAGAAGACUGCCGUUCCUCCUUUUGUGAUAAGAAUGGUUGAUAACCUUCCAUUCUUCUACGAGUAUCCCUGGGGAAAGAUUUCUUACACCAAGCUGAUGGAAAGUUGUAACAAGGAUUACUUGGAUGUGAAGAAUAAGAUGUUGAAAAAGAUUGAGAAGGGAGUAACUCAGAAGGAGGCAAAAUACUCAGCCU
Long non-coding RNA from Cannabis sativa, 1997 nucleotides. RefSeq lists it as uncharacterized. NCBI's taxonomy places the organism in Eukaryota, Viridiplantae, Streptophyta, Magnoliopsida, Rosales, Cannabaceae. The record is from RefSeq and is a predicted model, not a curated record. The transcript has 3 exons.